RNAcentral lists this ribosomal RNA (253 nucleotides) under uncultured bacterium. Its description in RNAcentral is "partial 16S ribosomal RNA". It matches the Rfam family "Bacterial small subunit ribosomal RNA", at positions 524 to 776 of the family's 1533-position model. The record is from RNAcentral.
UACGUAGGGUGCAAGCGUUGUCCGGAAUUAUUGGGCGUAAAGAGCUUGUAGGCGGUUUGUCGCGUCUGCUGUGAAAUUUCGGGGCUCAACCCCGAACUUGCAGUGGGUACGGGCAGACUAGAGUGUGGUAGGGGAGACUGGAAUUCCUGGUGUAGCGGUGAAAUGCGCAGAUAUCAGGAGGAACACCGAUGGCGAAGGCAGGUCUCUGGGCCACUACUGACGCUGAGAAGCGAAAGCAUGGGGAGCAAACAGG